AACGCAUAUUGCGCCCCUUGGCACUCCGAGGGGCACGCCUGUUCGAGCGUCAUUACACCCAUCACGCCUGGCGUGGUGUUGGGAGUGGUCGCCACGACCCUCCCGGAACUCGUUGGCGGCGCCUUUGCACGGUCGUAGCACGCACGCGACGCACCAUGGAAGCGGCGCCCGCCCAUCCUAUCUCUCCAACGUUUGACCUCGGAUCAGGUGGGGAUACCCGCUGAACUUAA
This 230-nucleotide unclassified non-coding RNA is filed under the name uncultured fungus. RNAcentral's name for it is "partial contains 5.8S ribosomal RNA, internal transcribed spacer 2, and large subunit ribosomal RNA". The record is from RNAcentral. Lineage: Eukaryota; Fungi.